This 23-nucleotide non-coding RNA is filed under the name Cricetulus griseus (Chinese hamster). Lineage: Eukaryota; Metazoa; Chordata; Mammalia; Rodentia; Cricetidae. The record is from RNAcentral.
UCUAGCAUCACAAGUAUUAGAGG